CAAAUCCCUUGGAACUGCAGUUAUUGAUGGUUGUGAGCCACCAUGUGGGUGCUGGGAACAGAACCAGGUUCUCUGAAACAGUAACAAAUGCUUUUAUCCCCGGAAUUGCUUUUCAGCCCCACUGAUCCACUGCUCAGAACAUCGACUUGGAAGUUGAAAAAUCUGUAGAGCCCCUGUCAGUCUCUACCUCCCGCUGCUGCUCUUCCCGUGUUCAUGUGUGUGUUCACAGAGACAGAAGUCAUUACACAAUGUACACAGUUCCCGGGGCUUGAGCACAGCGUCAAAGUUGGCUAUUGUUUGUCAGUAGAGUUAAGAUAGAAAGGGGGCUGGGUGGUGGUGGUGCAUACCUUUAAUCUCAGCCCUGAGUUCUAGGCCAGCCUGGUCUUCAGAGCAAGUUCCAGGAUAGGCAAGGCUGUACAGAGAAACCCUGUCUUGGGGGUCGGGGAGCAGAAUAAAAGAAAGGGAGCCAGUGCCUAAACUUGUGGGGGGGUCAGUCUGGCAUGCCAGGUUCUACUCCCUUUGCAGUCUGUGGCUUUAUGGGGUCUCUAGGGUCCCCUUGGUGGCUCAUGGUAGGGAUGUUUGAAUACCAUAGUCACAUGGGCAUGAGGAGAGAAGGGCCUACCUGCAGGAGCAUUGUGAGGCAUGUACUCUGCACCGAGACUUACCUGGGACUUUUUUAAAGGCAGGUUCCUACUUUGUAGCCCUGGGUAGCCUAGAACUCACUAUGUAGACCAGGGUGGCCUCACAGAGCUUUGUCUGCCUCUGACUCCUGAGUGCUAGGAUUAGAGACAUGGGCUAUCAUACCUGGUUACCUGUGCCUUUUUUUUUUUUUUUAAUACCUGGGGCAGGAGAGACGACUUAGAGGUUAAGUGGGAGAUACUGGUCUUCCAGAGGACCUGAGUUUAGUUCUCUGCACAUACUUCUGUGCCACCCUGCAUCUGCUUUCCCCUCAGGGUAGCUAGGCUCGUUCUGGAACCAGCUGGACUAGAGGGAGGGACGCUUAGCUGGGUGCAGGUGAGUGCAGUGCAGGAUCUAGCUUGGGUAAUGAACAGCUGGGAACAGCUUCAGAGAAAUGGUUCCAUUUACUGAGGGGUACUUAUGCCCCUGGAGAGGUGGCCAGAGUCUCUGGGGCAAGGUUUAUAUGGCUGUGUGUGUACCAGGGCAGGGGUCAGGGCUGUUGGAAGAUGCUUUAUCUACAUACUCAGGGGCUUUUAAUGUGUGUGUGUGUGUGUGUGUGUGUGUGUGUGUGUGUGUGUGUGUGUGUGUGUGUGUGUGUGUAGGGACCCUAUAAGGUCAAACAAGGAGUGAAGCUUGGUUACUGUCAGGGUAAUAAAUUCUUACUAGGGUUAGCGGGGCUGGUUUUAUGGAACAGAUUGGGAAGCAGGAGGGAGCCAACUCCUUCUGUCCUCAAGUUUGAGGUGUCUGGGUUUGAAGCUCCUCUGUAACCCUGGGCCAUGAAGGUCCCACAGCUCCUCUCUCUUGCUUUAUAAGAGGGCAGUAUCAUCAAAGUCAGCAUCCAUGUGGGGGAUGGUUUGAUACUGGACCAGAACCUGAUUGGCAGUGGUUCGUGCACUGCUACUUAUCUGUUGUUUUGGAAACUGGAUGGGGCAAAGUACCAGGAGGAGAAGGGGAGGAGCCAAGCCAUCAGGGUGGGUACCAUGGGGUAGGGUGCUGGGUGCAUAGCAUGUCCUGAGGUCUCCCUGGAGAUCUUUGAGCCUUUGUCAGUUUUGUUCCACCAGCCCCAUUCAUUGACAAAGGAGCCACAUUCUUCCCCCAACACAAUGCAAGCCACGCCCCUCCCUGCUCAGCAGCCAAUAAGUCUAGAGUUCUGUAGAACAACCCUUGCUGGGGGGGGGAGGGGGGAGAUCUGUCGAUGGAGGGACUAGAGACUGUCCAAGGAGGAAGGUACAGCUGGGUAAAACUUAUCCUGGAAAUCGCCAGCCAGAUGGUGUGUCUGGACGAGGGCUGCUCCAGCGGGGCUCAUGACGCCCAGUUGAGAUGGUGGACAGAGGGAUGAAGACGUCCCUGGUCCCCUCCCAGCUGUAAAGUGCGUUCUUUGGGCUCAUAGAGAUAAACCUGGGGAACAAUCGUUGCAGGGGUGCAGAAACUUUGAAAAGCGGGGUUUAAUGCAGGAACUGGUUAUGUUAUUGCACCGGAGAAGAGCAAGGGGGAAGGGUAACACAUACUGGCUUGGUGACCGUGAUGUUACUGCAGUGUGUAGGAUGGGACCUUGAAGAGGGCCUAUGAGGCAAAGGGGGAGGAUAGAUUAAAAGAAGGAAUGUUUUGUAAGUUUUGUGUGGGUAAGGCCCACAGGGUUCAUGAAUCGAGUCGUUAAUGGGAUCAGCUGCCAACAGUGGAUGGGAGGGGGAAGUGCAAAAGAAAAGGCGUAGAGAGAUGACCAAGCCAGCUCAGUCAGUCAACAGGUUCUCCAGCGCAGGAGCAAGGAUCAAAAAGAAAAAAGACAACUAGACAACUUUCUAGCAUGACCCCAGCUGGUUCUGAGGCUGAGUCAGGUUAAUUUUUUUUUUCCAGUCUGCUUUUAUACCACUUUAAUUACAUGCAAAUAAUAAGGUGAGUUCUAGGUUGAGGAAGAAACAAGACAAUAAACACAAAUAGUCAAGGAACAAGCAAGGCAAUAAACAAAGCCCCAUGAUCACUUUAUCUAAGGGCUGAUCAGGAUGACCAGGAUAUCUGAGCCUACGUCUUUUUUCUAGCUCAAAAUGGUGGUAAGUGUUUUGUUUGUUUGUCUUUUUUUCUAGCUCCAAAUCAGAUUCCUGCCAGAGCUUACUUCCCUGUCCUGGGCCAAUGUCAGAUUUCUGCCAAGCGGGCCCCAAAAGCUGUCCACAAAGAGAGUUAGGGGGAGGGCUAGGGGGAGGGCUAGGGGGAGGAGGCCCGCUGUUUAAUGGAUACAUUGUAGCCAGGAGAGGGUGGCUUGAAUCUCCUUUGGAGUUUGAUUCUGUUAAAGAAUGGUAACUGGGUAAAGGCCAAUUUGGAGGCAGGGAGGAGUUGUCGGGAGAUGUGCAGGUCCCCUACUGGGUAUUUGGCGUAACUGUAAGGGUAGAGCUUACCCACAAGUCCCAUUCAUCAUCAUUUGUCCCAGGGACCACCAAUGGAAAGCUGAAAAUGAGUAUUAAUGUUAGUGAGCAUGGUGCCACCUUGGCCAGGGGCGUGGAUUCCAUUCAGCAUCUCCAAGAUCUGCAGCCUCCAUCUAUGGAGGCUUUCUGGAGGCAGUCACCUGCGUUGUGCCCUGGCUGUCCUGAAAUUCUCUCUGUUGACCAGGCUGACCUUGAACUUGGAGGAUCACCUGCCUCUGCUUCUGCCUCCUGAGUCCUGGGAUUAAAGAGGAGCGGAGAUGGCAGCGGGCGGAACGAAGGGAGGAUUGGAGGAGUCUGCGCAGAGCGAUCAAGUUGGGAGUCCUGAGCGACAGGCCCUCCAGAGGACAGCACAGCGAGCGAGCUCGGGCACUGGUGAUUUAGGAUCCAAUCCAGCAGGUUAAGGUCUAAGAAAACAUGUUUAGGGGAAACGUUUGAGAUUGGUAACGCAAAUAGUGAAGGUUGGGGGUGUAAGAGAGCGUGGAUGAUGACGACUUAGAAAGAAAAACGCUUCCGAUGAAAGACGUUUAAAGUUGGCAAAUGCAAGUUCUAAGUGUUGGAGGGUCUGAGAAGAUGUUUUAUAUCAUAUAAAUGCAAAUUACAGAGAUGUGAGAAAUGAUUUAAGAUAUGAAAAGGGGGAAAUGUUUCAUAUUCCCCCCUCAUGCUAUUGUUAUUUCAAAGUUCAGAAUUUUAACAUUACUCAGUGGAGUUCUGAUAAGCUAAUGGAACAUUUACAACUCAGUCACAAGCUUAAGAUUUUAGUUUCCUUUUGGCUGCCUUCUGAAUAUAAACUUAGAGAUGCUUCUCACCAUGCUAAAACCAUCUCUGUUCACUCUGUGUAUCCAGCCCUCUGGACUGAGGGGAAAUGUUCUGUGCCUUUUAACCGAAACUUAGAACUUUCACCAGGCCCCAAAGGCAUGCGUCUACCCCUGUUGUCUAACAGAUACCUCUUAACUAUAUUUCUAAAAUACGGAUUUCAAUAUAAUGGUAAAUAUUAAUGUACAUCCUUUUGUAAACUAAAGUUCACAUAAGCUUUAGGGAAUCAAGAGUCCUAAGACCUGGACCUGCCUUUCACAGAUCAAAUGGACCACAGAUAAGUACAGCUGCCUGUUUUGACCCAAUCCAGCAGGAUGCUGAAGGGCACGGUGGCUGCCAGAGAGAUUGGUGAGGCAUGCUGAUGCUGGGACAAAGAAUGAUGCUGACCGUGACCUUGCUGAGUGCCAUGAUGAUUGCAAUAGGGAAGCUGUAGAGGACAUAAGUGCCUGACCCAUCUUUGUUUCUUUCUUCUGUAUGGUCGAGGCCAGAAAUACUUGUGACUUCUAAUAAUUCUCAGCUGUUAGAAUUCCCUUGGUCUGAGAGUAAGAAGUAUUCCAAACUGGUGAAUUACACUGCUAUGGGUCAGGGCCUCCCCAUUUGUUUUACUAGAAAUAGUGCCAAUGCUGGAUGUGUUUCUGUGGACUCUCAGGCUUGGAAGAAGAAUAUCUCUAAGACUGUAGUGCGAGCAUUGAGAUGGGAAUGCCUGUAUCUCAGACUGGACAGGCUGCCUCGCCUCAGGCUUUUGGACAUUGAAGGACAGAGAACAUGGAGACUGUGGAGCCUGUCUUCAAAAAAAAUCAAUCAAUCAAAUGGAGAAGCUGUUUUAAUGACUCUCCUCUUUCCUUUCAUGUGACUGGUUAUCCUGACUCAGUCGUGUACUGGUCUGGAAAUUAAUACAGUAUUGGACAAAAGGAAAUGACAGUGGGCAUUUGGAGGGCUAAUUCUGGAAAAUUUCAGAGACAUAUUUGGAAAUUGGCAGCUGUGUUGUAUGAUGUUACGUUUGCUGUGGAUAAAAAUGGAGCAGGUUCUGGUGUUAAGGUAAAUGUAGCAUCCUGCAUUACCCCACCCAAUCUUUUACUAAUUGGGAAAGUUACCUUUGUUAUUGGCUCUGAUAAUGAGUUCAGUGUUUCUUGUUUUAAUUGUCUUUUGUCCAAUUGUGUUUUUGCGCUCUGUGAUGGACAAUCUGUAAUGAUAGCACACCAACCAGCUUUUAUUAUGAUUCCUAUAAAUUUAUCUGAACCCUAGUAUUCUGAAAAGGCUUACAAAUAUUGGGAGAAUUAGGUCAUCCUCUGGCAAGGAGCACACGUAUGGUUGGGCUGAUCACUGUUGGUGUUGUUGCUCUCACGACACAGCCAGUGCCACCACUUCUGCAUUAGCUUUAAUACAAGAGGUGCAAACAGCUAGUUUUGUUAAUCAUCUUGCAGGAAAUGUGAUGAUGCCCUAAGUAUACAAAAAGAUUUAGAUAGAUGGCUAGAACAAAGAAUUGACACAUUAUAUGAUAUAGUGCAGAUCAUGGGAGGUGAGGUACAAGGAAUGAAAGUCAGAAGCCCUUGGAAUGCCAUGCACAAUGUCUAUGGAUUUGUAUAACUCCAAAAAUGUAUAAUGAAAGUCAGCCUAAUUGGACCUGAGUAAAAAGGCACCUUUCAAUGUAUUUUUCAAAAUGCGAAUACUUCUUUAGCCCUGCAUAAGGAGAUUGUAAGUUUAAGAAGUGCAAAGUCUUUGUGUAGUAUGGGUAUUUUGACAGAUCCUGGCAUGGGGUUUCUUCCUCACCCUUGACCAUUUAUGUUCCCAGAUGAAACACACACACACAGCCUUUAGAUUUUAGUAUGCCUUAAGCAGCACAACAGCCAGGCAACUGCCUAACUUCCAUGCUGUUAGAAUCCACCUCCCACCCAUAACUCCGCGUUACUACUUACUAAUUUCUAUGUUCCAGCUUGGCUGCUCUUGACCAGUUGGGCCACAUUCUUUUGGCUCUUUUACGUGGUGGCUUUGGUUCUCCCUCCUACACCUCUCCUGAGGCAUGGCAGCUCCCUUUUCUCUCUUUCCUCAUGGCCCCUAGCCUGAGAAACCAAUCAGAAUUCACUGGGGUUAGGUUCCUAGAAGCUAUGUACUGACUUCAAAUGUUGGAGGCCAUAAGAUAGCAUUAGAAUACAAGCAGCAUUAGGCCAGCCUACUACACCUUUGUCUUUUGAUGCUGCUAGCAUUGCAAAUGAUAUUUUGAAAAAGUUACAAACUGUUUUCCCUUCAUGUUCCUUGUUACGUCUCUCUUAUUGGCCAUAGCAUGACUUGGCUUUUUUAUGGCAUGUCUAUUAUCUGUUCUUUUGAGAGAAAUCAUCAGAGCUUUUAUAGAUGUCAAAGCAGAGUUACAUAAAUUCAGGCUCCAGUGUCUUCCCUAGUAGAAGUUGGUAGAUAAUGACCGGUAAGAUUGUCUUGAAAAACCUUCUCAACCUAAGACAGGCCACGAAUACAAGAUUAUUCAUGUGCCAAUGAUUGUUAAGAGCUGAGUUUUCAGAUGGCAAUAGGCACAACUUUCUGCUUUGUGACUGAUAAGGUGUGCUGUUCUUAUAGAUAAAAAAGACCAGUAAGAUUUUCUCAGAGUUGGAUCAACCUAAGACAGGGCAUGAAACCUAGAAUUCAUAUACCGAUGAUAGGUAAGGUCCACACUUCUUGAGGGGAUGCCUAAAACAGGCAUAAUCUUUCUGUGCCAAUAACUGAGACAGCUUUGGCUUGUAUAGAUAAAUCGGGGGGGGCAUGUGGGGGCCACAUCCAGAGUUAACUUUGGAUGACUUCUUGCUUGUGAUUAAUCAUGAAUGAGUCUGCUGACAUCUGUCUUUGCUUUUAGUUAAGACGUGUGUUAUACCCUGCCAAGUUCCUCCACUUAUGUAUACAUCCUUGAGAGACUGUUCUAGCCCGAAGGAAAUGGCCUUAGUGAAACAUAGAUGCUGUGUACCAUAAACUCAACACAUAAGCAUUUGUGGGCAUUGUUUAUAUUCCUGAAAUUGGUCAUAUUUUCUGUUGCUUGUCUUUAAAAGACACUGAGAAAAUACACUUGCAUUUGGUUCGAUAUUGACCAGCAGUCCUCCCAUAUCUGUCUCUUGCAUCUUCUUUCUUCCUUUUCUAUAAUCAUCUUCACUCCCUGUCUUAGUUAGGGUUUUACUGCUGUGAACAGACACCAUGACCAAAGCAACUCUUAGAAGGACAACAUUUAAUUGGGGCCGGCUUACAUGUUCAAGAGGUUCAGUCCAUUAUCAUCAAGGUGGGAGCAUGGCAGCAUCCAGGCAGGCAUGGUACAGGAGGAGCUGAGAGUUCAACAUCUUCAUCUGAAGGGUACUAGUGGAAGACUGUCUUCCAGGCAGCUAGGAUGAGGGUCUUAAAGCCCACACCCACAGUGACACACCUACUCCAACAAAGCCACACCUCCUAAUAGUGCCAUUCCUUGGGCCAAGCAUACUCAAACUAUGAAUUGUGGUUCCUGCAUUGACUGACUGGUAGGCUUUGGCAAUUCCUAAAGAAAUUAUUGCCGCAAAAUUCUUUUUAGCACGCAUGGUGUGGACAAUUUCUUCCUCCCACCAGGACAGGCUGUUUAUCACAGGUCUUAAGAUUCCUAAGGCUUUAGCUCUUAGAAUACAAACUUGGUAUCUGACCUAACAUUCUGAUGGUGGCUAGACUUUCUGUAGUGCGUGUUCCAUUUACUCUCCCUUGAUUCAACACAGCAGACCCUGCCUGCCUAGCUCCCCAGUAAGCAGGGAUGGUGUCUCCACUGGGUGGUCAGAAUCUCCUACCUCCUUAGCUGGCCUAAGGACCUGAGUCAGUCCCCCCACUGCUUCUAUGUAGCCAGAGUUGGCCUGGAGCUUGCUAUCUAGACCAGGCUGUCCUUGAACUCAUGGAGACCCACCUGCCUCUAAAUCUCGAGUAAAGGGACUAAAUGCAUGUACCAGCAUGCCCACCCUAUCUAAGUCUCUUUAUGCAUUCCAUGGCUGUACUGACGCCUUGUCUGUGAGAGUUGUUAUAAUUCUUUCUUUAGAGUCUGUACUCCUGAACCUGUGUCAGUUAUAUUGGGUUAAUAAUAAGAUAUUUUAUUUUUUAACACUGUGAGUGUGCAUGUGCGUGCAUGUGUGUGUGUGCACGCCCUUGUCCUCCCAUUAAGUUCAGAGGACAGUUGUGGCAGCCGGUCCUCACCUUCUGCCAUGUGGAUCCCCAGAUUGAACUCAGGUUGUGAGGCUUGCUGUCUUUGCUCACUGAGCCAUCUUGUCCCAGACUAAGGUUGUUUCCUUUAAAACUACUCAUUUUCCCAUGGAGAGCAGCAACAUUAACAGGUCAAUAGAGGAAGUCUGAGCAAAGAGGGAGACCGGAUGGCCAGCGCUGGCUUGUGCUAACAUUUUCAGGUUGAAGGCACUGCACAGACUGGACACCCUGGACAGACAGACUGCCUCCAUUCCCAGGCAGGAAGUGCAAGAUCAGGGUGCCGACAGGGCCCUCCAGAGCCUUCCCGGAGCACCAGCUUUGAUUGCUUGUGACUGCUGGUGCCACCGGUUCUUCUCCGUUCUGUGAAAGCUGACUCCACCUUCGUCUUGGGCUUCACUUGCUGGUCUCCACUCAGGCAUGUCUGUGUCCAGAUUUCUCUCCUGUAUGUGUAUGCGUGUGUGAGGGUUUGUGUACAUGUAGGUGUACAUGUUCACAUACAUGUCUUUGCAUGUAGAAGAUAGAGGACAAUUUGAACAUUGUUCCUCAAGCACUGGACACAUUUCUUUGUUUCUUUUCUCUCUCUCUCUCUCUCUCUCUCUCUCUCUCUCUCUCUCUCUCUCUCUCUCUCUCUCUCUUUAUUCUUUUGAGAUAGGGUUCCCCAAUGCUCUGGAACUUGCUAAGUAGGUCAGUCUGGCUGGCCUUCAAGACCCAAGAAUCUGCUGUCUUGGAAUCCUGAGAGCUGAGACUUCCAGUGCAGGCCACCACACCCAGCUUGUGUUAUGUAGGUUCUGGGUGUUGAACUUGGGUCCUCUUGCUUUCAAGGCAAGCACUUUACUGAUCGAGCCAUGAUGCCCCCGCCCUUAUCAAACCCUAGUUAUCUUGGAAUAGGGAUCCUUCUUCUCCAGUCUGAGCUCGUUUUAAUAUAUCUGCACCAAUUCUGCAUUCAAAGUUUAUAUCUGCAGUGUCACCUGAGAUCCUGAGGGCUAGAAUUUCAGCAUAUGAAUUACAGGAAGACACAGUCCACAUGUAACAGUCGGCAUGGGAGGAUCACGGCAUGCCAGAGACAGUGCAGCAAGAAACCUUAAUUCAGCGAGCAAGCAAAUCAUGCAGGCUCCUGAGGGAACAGCACUCCAAAGGAGGGACCAGUGUGUAAGGUGUAAGACAGCCACAGCCAAUCACAGUUAAAACAAAACAAAACAAAACAAAACAAAACAAAACAAAACAAAACACCCAGAAGACUGUCUGGAUGGCAGAGGUGAGAGAAGUGCUAUUCAGUAGUUGGGAUUUCACUCCUACAAAUCACAACGUUAGCUGUGGGACACUCUUACUUAACUUAUUGAUUAUAAAAACCAAAUGCUCAUUCCUAAUAAAACCUCUGAUUUAGAAGUAUGCAGUAACACGGUCUUGGGCUGUAGGUACCUUGGUCAGGGAGCAACAAUUCGCAUCAAAUCCACUGCAGUGCAGGAGCAUUUCCAUCCUCCAGCAGAACAUAGGUGCUUGGUUUUGUUUUAGACUCCAGUUAAAGCUGGAAGUUACAUCUCCUGUUACUGUGUAACUAAGUGCCCCGACAUAAGCACCCGACAGAGAAAGUUACAUCUCCUGUUACUAUGUAACUAAGUGCCCUAACAUAAGCUCCCUGACAGAGACGUCUCCUUUUAUACAGCCCACGGCAUCCACAGCCAUCCCACAGGCCUGUCUCCAGGUGAUUCCACAUCUCAUCACACUGGCAAGUCACACGGUACUCGGCACACCCCCAAAUGAUGGGGUACUUUUAAAGCACAAGCACUGGCUCAGCCACUUCUAUUCUCUUGUGCAUUGUAUUUGCUCUUGUGGCCAGGUCAUGGCUGCAGGAGCCAGCCAACCGUGCAGGUGUGGCCUGCCUGCUCCAACCCAGACUCUCUGCAGCCACUACCCAGACGUUUGUUCUCCAUCUCACCCAAUGAGUGUAGACUGUAUGUGGAUGCUUCGAGCAAGCGUGCUCCAUUCCUGGGUGUGCAGUGGCAAUUUUAAGGUACAUUUUACUCUAGUGCCCAACUCAGCAUGCAUGCUGGCAUUGGAUUCUCUGUGCCAUGCUCCUGACUUGCCCAGGGUCUCCAUUCCUGGUCCCUGAAUCCACUUCUAAAGACCAAUGACUUGUACCCAGCUCACACUCCAUGCUGUGAAUUCAGGGAGCUCUGACUGGGGAGCCGAGGUCAGGGCAGGGUUGUGGCCAACCGCAUGUCUGGAUGCUACCUUGUGAAGCCCACUUUGCUGGUGUUGGGUGAAGGAUCUGAGGGGAACCUUAUCCUGUUAAACAGGUGCAGUGGUGCGCCCAGGUGCACUCAGAUGGAAUUGCAAGGUGAAGCCUGUGUCUUUAUGGCGGGGUUACGGUUUCAUUUCAUCAGUAACGAGUACCAAUAGUAAUAGGAAUGACUGGGGUGGGCUGGCUUUUAUCAGCGGUCUUCAAAGCCUCAGCAACAACAAACCCUUAAACAGCCACCUGAAAAUUCAAGACCUUUUCUGCUGCUGCAGGGAGGGCCUUCCUUCCGUCCCCCAGGAUGGGGCAGCUGCCGAUGUUCCCAUCAUCCCAGCAUCAUCCAUAACUUCAAGUGAUGUUUCAUCUCGUCGGCUGUGUUCAUGAGACUCCUGUUACAGAAACAGCCGCUCACAGCACUUCCACUGUGGGUGGGGGGUUUCCAUACCAAGCAACUCCCCACAUACCAGUGAAUGAGGAGCUGUUAUUUAAUUCUGAUCCCAGACACUGCAGUUGCUGACUCUGCAAGCUGGGGGACCAGGCCACGACACUGCCUCCAGUUCAGAACCAGUGGCAAUCCUGGGCCUCCCACACUUCACAGGGGAGCAUCUACAAAUACACUCUCAAGGUUCAUGGAAACUAGGGAGCACUCUCCAUGCGUUUACCUCCUGCCUUAGGAAGUGUGGAGGUGCAGAGGCGAGGUCUCGGAGGAUCCUUAUUGCAGAUGGGCAUCCCACUUUCAGCUCAGAAGUUCUUCAAAUCCCUUGUGAUAAGACUUUCACGGUGGUCCUGUUCCAGUGCCUUGAUUAAUAAGUCAGUGAUCAUUAACAGGACUCAAUCGCCAGCCCCAUAAACACUCUGAGCCUCACAUGGGUCUGGGAUUCCCAGACUUCUACUCACAGAUGGUUCCCUCUCCAGCCAUUCAGUUCAAGAACCAGUGAAAGGAGGUGCAUUUAACACAGGGACCUCCAAGGCAGCCGGCUGCUGCUGCUGCAUGUCUUUGAUCCUUGCACUUGAUGGUGUUCAAAGCCAGCCUGGUGUAAAGAGUGAGUUCCAGGACAAUCUGAAGUGCUCUAGUGAAUCUCUGGCGAAAAGUUCAUAUGUAAAUCUCUUUCAAGUUCAUGUCUUUGUGUGCUAAUAAUUCACUCGUGUUUUGGGAGCUCUUCCUGGAGAGGCAUAGGCUGUCCACCCCUUCCUUUUCUGUUGCUGUUGGUUUUGCCUUAUUUAUUUAUUUAUUUAUUUAUUUAUUUAUAGACAGGGUUUCUCUGUGUAGUCCUGGCUGUCCUGGAACUCAGUCUUUACACCAGGCUGGCCUCAAAUUCUAGAGAUUCACCUGCCUCUGCCUCCUGAGUGCUGGGAUAAAAGGUGUGCCACCAUCACCCAGCCGUCUACCCCUUCCUUAUAGGGCAUUAAUCACAAACCAAAGCAUGAUUCCACCAAAGUCAAACCUGGGGAACCAAUGAGGUUCACUGACAGAGCCCGGUGAAGGGUUACUUAGAAGAGAGUGUGACCCUAAAUCAGCCACCGAGCAUAGAUAGUAACUUCUCCAUAGAUGGGGUCCUCCCCUACUUUCUGUUAACCUUCUAUACGCUAUUUACUUAAGCACCUCCCAAGACCACAAGGCCAUGUGCAAUUACUGCAGGCUGACAGGCGCAGAAGUGUGUGGCUGGAAUCCUAUGAAGGAAUACCAACAGUCAGCAGGGCAGGAUAGAUCUUAGCGCUCUUGUGAGCAGUCUCUGAUGCACAGAUAAAGACGGCUGUUAUGUUCAAGGGUGGGGACUGUGGGGGAGUUGGUAUCCUCCCUGGAAACUCCUUUGGUGCUGAACCCUGUAAAAGUGGGCUCCUGGGAGAAUGAGCUCCACGUCUUUAAUCUCUAGCUUCCAGACCCCUCCUAGGCAAAGAUCCUGCAAGAUAUGUAUUUCUUAUACCACGAUAUCGUACCUAUUGGUUUCCAUACUAAAACAAAAAGCUGUAUUUUUUGCUUCUACAGAGUUCUUGUGGAAUCUUUCCCAAACUAGUCCCCUGAGAAUCCCUGUUAUUUAUUUUAUUUCUUCAGACUAAAAUGUCAUUAUUUUGUUCCUGACGAUGCCAGGGUCCCAGAUUUGGGUGUGGCUGUGCUGUGUGGGGUUUCCUCCCCUGUUCUGUGAGGUUGUAAAUUGCUCUGUAUUCCUUCAAAAGUUAUCUGCAGGAAGCUUUUGAACCUGUAUGGAGCUCAAGUGUCUCAGGGGAUGUUUAGUUACUUAGUUUUCUUCUUAGUCUCUAUAUGCCGUCUCAGAAUGCCCCAUAAGAUCUCUUUUUGGGAAUCAUUGUACGUUAAGGAUGUAAUUACCGCAUAGUUUGUAGAAAAGCGCCUUCCUCGGGUGAACCGCUUCAAGUUCACCAGAGCAGGGCAGGCAGCCUAGGCAGCUGGUUCCCCCACCUCCCCCGGGAGGCAGAAGAGAGUUCACUCAGGGAAACAAAUGGGACCCAGAAAUGGGACCCAGGCUUUCUCCUCUGCAGCCGGCGAAGGAGCCAGGAGUGGAAGGGGACUGAGAAGGUAGCUAUGGGCUUUGCCUGGCGCUUCCCAGUUUCUACGUGCUGUUCGGAGUAGCCAGCAUGUCUACAGGCUCAACGGAUGCUCCGGGAUCAGGCGGUGUGGUUUCUCAGAUCAAGGUCUCACGUUCUAAGAGGCUAGAGUCCUGGAACCUCGGAUAACCCCCAGGCGAUUCAGAAGCUCAGACAAAAUGGUUGAUGGGGGAGCACUAAGCAAUGACCGAGGUUUUUAAUGCAUUUGCAGGAAGCAAGAUGCCUCAUGCUGGGAAUUCAGCAAGCCCCCAGGAGGCAGAGGCAGGAUUGUCUCAAGUUCGAGACCAGCCUGGGGGUACAUAGUCAGAUUUUAUCUAAAAAAAAAAAUACUAGUUAUAGUAAUAAAAAUAGAAUUCACUUGCAGUGUUGGCUAUUUCCCGCCUUUCUAUAUGGAUUUUUGUCCCUAUUCUGAACUGGCUUUCUUUCUCUUUCUUUCUUCCUUUCUUUCUUUCUUUCUUUCUUUCUUUCUUUCUUUCUUUCUCUCUCUCUCUCUCUCUCUCUCUCUCUCUCUCUCUCCCUCCCUUCCUUCCUUCCUUCCUUCCUUCCUUUCUUUCUUUCUUUCUUUCUCUCUCGGUCUCUCUCUCUUUCUUUCUUCCUUCCUUCUUUCCCCUCCCUCUCUCUUUCUUUCUUUCUUUCUUCCUUUCUUUCUUUCUUUCUUUCUUUCUUUCUUUCUUUCUUUCUCUCUCUCUCUCUCUCUCUCUCUCUCUCUCUCUUUCUUUCUUUCUUUCUUUCUUUCUUGUCGUCGUUUGAGUCCUACCCUGGGUGUGAACAUUAUUAUGCUGUAAUUUUAGGGACCGUUUGUUUACAUUCUUUUUGGUACAUCUGUAUAUCUUCCCUGCACAUACAUAGAGGGUGAUGGAUGCACACUCGUAGUGUCAGAAAAAAACAAUUUCAGCGUCAAACAAAGAAACACACGAAUGAUGUGGAAGUAACUUGGCAAGGCCAUUUCUUUUUAUAAAACGGGUACAUGGGCCAGAGCCCAGACCAGGCUAGCAGCACACAUGACUGGGGUGGCCUCUGUCCCUUACCCCAGCACUGGUGAUAACCGUGUCUCAUUCCUUAGGUGGGAACUCUACUUCACAGUCAGUUGGCUAAUCAGUGAGAAGGGUUAGAGGGAAGAUACAGGCCCCUGUUGAACUACCCCUUAAGGGGGAAAAAGUCAUCUUCCAUAUACGUGCCAGUGCCUGCCAAGGCCAGAAGAGGGCGUCAGAGCCGCUGGAGCUGGAGUUCUAGGUGGUUGGGAGCCAUCAGAUGUGGGCACCCUGAACUGGACUCUGGAAGAGAGGCUGAUGCUGCUAAAGGCUGAGGCGUCUCUCCAGCCCUCUAUCUCCCUCUUCACUGAACCUGGCCUCACGCUCUAGCUAGCCAUCUCCCAACCCUGUUUUUAUUUUUCUUGGGUAACGCUCCAGUUGUACAGGCCAAGAGUAAGCUCCUGGCUGUCCUCCCAAGUGGCAAGCCUCCCAGCUUCUUGGUUUACAGUCAUGAACCACCACAGCAGACUGCAACAUGCCCCACCCCCACCCAGGAGUCUCUGUCAUUCCUGUUACCAAUUAAUUCUACAGAGUACUUCAACAGGGUGCAACAUCUGCUGAGCCCACACAUUGUCAGAUGGCACAGUCCCCACCCCACCCCCACACAGGUGUCUUCUCUCAGACCCUUCUGUGAACCCAUGAGACUGACUGUUCCCACGAGUCAGACAGGAGCUGCCAUUGAUCUGUGUCCCUUAGUCACCUGGGUGACAUCCAGCAUCCAUUUCUGGUUCUCCUUUGAGUCUUUGUCCAUUCACAAAAGAGGACAAGUUAAUAUGCUCUCAUGAGACUGAGAAUUGCUGAGAGCACUCUGGAGGAGCAGGAGUGGAGGCCAUUGAGCAUGCUUUCUGUGGCUUACACCAAGGAACAAUGUGGAGUCCACUGCCAGGGUGGCAUGUGUGUGAGUGUGUGUAUAUGCAUAUGUGUGUGCACAUGUGUGUAUGCAUGUGUGUGUGCACAUGUGUGUGUGCAUGGAUGUGUAUGCAUGUGUGCAAGCAUAGGUGUGUAUGUGUGCAUGCAUAUGUGUGUGUGCAUCUGUGUGUGCAUUUGUGUGUGCAUGUGUGCGUGCAUGUGUGUGCAUAUGUGUGUGUGUGUGCAAGCAUAUAUGUGUGCAUGUGUGCGUGCAUAUGUGUGUGCAUGUGUGCAAGCAUAUAUGUAUGUGCAUGUGUGUGUGUGAAGCCGGAGGCCACUCCCACCAAGGGAAGACAGGGCUUGUGGGCAGUUUCUAGAAGGAGAAAAGUCCAGUGGUCACUGUCCUUGUCAUCACACAAACAUAGGGUCCUUUCUGCUGUAGGGUUCUCAUCCUGGCUCUGCUGCAAGAAAUUGGAGUUCAGACCCACUGCUGAACUGCAGGCUCUCCUGACUUUGAACUCAGCAAAUAUAGCUUUCUCUUGUCUUGCCUGUGCAUGCCAGGGCAGGGUGCACAAGCAGAGAUAUUUCCUGAAAACCUUCUGGUUUUUAACUGACAGGUGUCCUACAAGCAGAAAUCCCUGUGUUUGAUGGAGGAGACCUGGGCAGGCAGGGCAUUUGGCCACAUCUUUAGCUGUACAUUCUAUGAAGAGAGGCAAGGGCAGACGACUACUGGAAAUGGGCAUAGAGUUAUCACUAUGUCCCUGAGCUCUGUCCCCACAGGCUUCCCAGAUCCAACCUCUUAGGUAGGCUGUGCAUUAGAAACCCCCAUGGUUGAUCACUUUACCAUGCCUCAGAGUCCAUAAAGCUGAUUCACUCCACAAUGAUGGCUAGACCUCUCUGGAUCUGCAGAGAUCCUACCAGAUCUCUCCACUGACACGUAGAUGGUCACUGAGGUCUGUUGGUGAAAAACAGGCCCAGAUCAACGGCCUUGCGCACAAGCCGUUAUCACUGCCCAGUGGGGCCGUGGAUCUCUGUAUGUCUGAGCUCUAUUAGCUCAUCCAUCGGAUGCAAGCAGAGCCUACACAGAGUUUUCUGAGAUUGCCCAUUUGGCUUGGCUUCCACUUACCAAAGAGGCAGAGACAGGGCCCUUUCAUCUCUGGGAAACAAGAGGUCAACCCACCAGGGCUCUGAAGUUAUGGUCUAAAGCACUCAUGACGUAGGAGUCUUCCAUCUCUACCGCACCUUGCAGGGCCGACCAUGCUGCACGCGGGUGGAUGGCUCAGGAGAACCCCUCCUUGCUUCUCAGAUCAUUGAGACCGUACAUCAGGAGCCUCCAUCCAUUCACACAUGUUUAGAGAGGCAUAGUCCUAACCGGCACUUUUGUUUCAUUUGUUACAGUGCCACUUUGGCCCUUGAACAUUUUCCUUUGGUGUUAGAGGGUACUUUCAGGCGUGGGACCAUGUCAGGCUCCACCUCUGAG
This is a long non-coding RNA of Mus musculus (house mouse), 16251 nucleotides long. RefSeq annotates it as predicted gene, 40578. The record is from RefSeq and is a predicted model, not a curated record. NCBI's taxonomy places the organism in Eukaryota, Metazoa, Chordata, Mammalia, Rodentia, Muridae. The transcript has 5 exons.